Molecule: ribosomal RNA, 592 nt
Filed under: archaeon enrichment culture clone R3-1a6
Lineage: Archaea
Description: bacterial SSU rRNA
Rfam family: Archaeal small subunit ribosomal RNA
Source: RNAcentral
UGUUCUUCGUGACAUAGCGAACUGCUCAGUAACACGUGGACAAUCUGCCCUUGGGUUCGGCAUAACUCCGGGAAACUGGAGAUAAUACCGAAUAGACCAUUGAAGCUGGAAUGCUCUUUGGUCCAAAGUUCCGGCGCCCAAGGAUGAGUCUGCGGCCUAUCAGGUUGUAGUGGGUGUAACGUACCUACUAGCCUACGACGGGUACGGGUUGUGAGAGCAAGAGCCCGGAGAUGGAUUCUGAGACAUGAAUCCAGGCCCUACGGGGCGCAGCAGGCGCGAAAACUUUACAAUGCGGGAAACCGCGAUAAGGGGACACCGAGUGCCAGCAUACUAUGUUGGCUGUCCACAUGUGUAAAUAGCAUGUGUUAGCAAGGGCCGGGCAAGACCGGUGCCAGCCGCCGCGGUAACACCGGCGGCCCGAGUGGUAAUCACUAUUAUUGGGUCUAAAGGGUCCGUAGCCGGUUUAAUCAGUCUUCCGGGAAAUCUGACAGCUCAACUGUUAGGCUUCCGGGGGAUACUGUUAAACUUGGGACCGGGAGAGGUAAGAGGUACUACAGGGGUAGGAGUGAAAUCUUGUAAUCCCUGUGGGACC